GUUGAUGGGUAAAAGUGGGUCUGGUAAGACCAGCAUGAGGUCUAUUAUCUUUGCAAAUUAUAUUGCCAGAGACACACGUCGCCUUGGCGCAACAAUUGAUGUAGAACAUUCUCAUGUUCGAUUUCUGGGAAACCUGGUAUUGAACCUGUGGGAUUGUGGUGGGCAAGACACCUUCAUGGAAAAUUAUUUCACUAGCCAACGGGACAACAUCUUCCGAAAUGUGGAGGUUCUGAUUUAUGUCUUUGAUGUGGAGAGCCGCGAACUGGAAAAGGACAUGCACUAUUACCAAUCAUGCCUGGAGGCCAUUCUGCAGAAUUCUCCAGAUGCCAAAAUAUUUUGCUUGGUACACAAAAUGGAUCUGGUACAGGAGGAUCAACGGGACCUGGUAAGAAACAGAAGAAGUGCUGCACCAAAUGCUCGACAUGCUUUGCAAACUUAUUUUGUAGAGGUAUAGGUAAAUUUGUACCAUUUUUUCAGAAAUAAAAAGUCAGCAGAAGUUUUCAAAGU
Molecule: small RNA, 507 nt
Filed under: Pan troglodytes (chimpanzee)
Lineage: Eukaryota; Metazoa; Chordata; Mammalia; Primates; Hominidae
Description: processed transcript
Source: RNAcentral